RNAcentral lists this ribosomal RNA (253 nucleotides) under uncultured bacterium. RNAcentral's name for it is "partial 16S ribosomal RNA". It matches the Rfam family "Bacterial small subunit ribosomal RNA", at positions 524 to 776 of the family's 1533-position model. The record is from RNAcentral.
UACGUAGGUGGCAAGCGUUGUCCGGAUUUAUUGGGUUUAAAGGGUGCGUAGGCGGUGACCUAAGUCAGUCGUGAAAUACGGCAGCUUAACUGUCGAGGUGCAAUUGAUACUGGGUUACUUGAGUACUGAUGAGGUAUGCGGAAUGGACGGUGUAGCGGUGAAAUGCUUAGAUAUCGUCCAGAACACCGAUAGCGAAGGCAGCAUACUAAGGAGUAACUGACGCUGAGGCACGAAAGUGUGGGGAUCAAACAGG